CGCCUCCCUCCGCCGCCACUCAGACUCCGUACGGGAGGCGAGCAGGUGGGUAAGUUUGGCGCAAGUGGGGAAACCUGACGCAGCAACGCCACGUGGAGGAUGAAGCCCUUGGGCGUAACUCCUUUCGACCAAGACGACAAUGACGGUACUGGUGGAAGAAGCACCGGCUAACUCUGUGCCAGCAGCCGCGGUAAUAC
RNAcentral lists this ribosomal RNA (197 nucleotides) under uncultured bacterium. RNAcentral's name for it is "partial 16S ribosomal RNA". It matches the Rfam family "Bacterial small subunit ribosomal RNA", at positions 306 to 526 of the family's 1533-position model. The record is from RNAcentral.